RNAcentral lists this unclassified non-coding RNA (253 nucleotides) under uncultured Verrucomicrobiota bacterium. Its description in RNAcentral is "uncultured Verrucomicrobia bacterium contains 16S-23S intergenic spacer region". It matches the Rfam family "Bacterial small subunit ribosomal RNA", at positions 524 to 776 of the family's 1533-position model. The record is from RNAcentral. Lineage: Bacteria; Pseudomonadati; Verrucomicrobiota.
UACAGAGACUGCGAGCGUUAUUCGGAUUCACUGGGCGUAAAGGGUGCGCAGGCGGUUGUGUGUGUCAGGUGUGAAAUCUCGGAGCUCAACUCCGAAACUGCGCCUGAAACUACAUGACUAGAGCAUUGGAGAGGGUAGCGGAAUUCACGGUGUAGCAGUGAAAUGCGUAGGUAUCGUGAGGAACACCAGAGGCGAAGGCGGCUUCCUGGACAAUUGCUGACGCUCAGGCACGAAAGCGUGGGGAGCAAAAGGG